Molecule: ribosomal RNA, 207 nt
Filed under: uncultured bacterium
Lineage: Bacteria
Description: partial 16S ribosomal RNA
Rfam family: Bacterial small subunit ribosomal RNA
Source: RNAcentral
AGCGCAGGCGGGCCGGUUAGUCUAAAGUGGAAUCCCAGGGCUCAACCCUGGACGUGCUUUGGAUACUGCCGGUCUUGAGUUCGUGAGAGGAAAGUGGAAUUCAGGGUGUAGCGGUGAAAUGCUUAGAUAUCCUGAGGAACACCAAUGGCGAAAGCGACUUUCUGGCACGAAACUGACGCUGAGGCUCGAAAGCAUGGGUAGCGAACG